UCCUCCUUUUUCUCUCUUUUCUCUUAAUUACUGGGCGUAAAGGGCGCGUAGGCGGAUGGCACAGUCAGAUGUGAAAUUCCCGGGCUUAACCUGGGGGCUGCAUUUGAUACGUGUGAUCUAGAGUGAGGAAGAGGGUCGUGGAAUUCCCAGUGUAGAGGUGAAAUUCGUAGAUAUUGGGAAGAACACCGGUGGCGAAGGCGGCGACCUGGUCCUUGACUGACGCUGAGGCGCGAAAGCGUGGGGAGCAAACAGG
RNAcentral lists this ribosomal RNA (253 nucleotides) under uncultured bacterium. RNAcentral's name for it is "partial 16S ribosomal RNA". It matches the Rfam family "Bacterial small subunit ribosomal RNA", at positions 549 to 776 of the family's 1533-position model. The record is from RNAcentral.